UGGCUCAGUUGGUAGAGCAUGGUGUUUGCAAUGCCAGCAUGGUGUGUGCAUGCUGGGGUUGUGGGUUCAAUUCCCAU
Molecule: transfer RNA, 77 nt
Filed under: Salmo salar (Atlantic salmon)
Lineage: Eukaryota; Metazoa; Chordata; Actinopteri; Salmoniformes; Salmonidae
Source: Rfam by way of RNAcentral